AAUGGGCGCAAGCCUGAUGCAGCAACGCCGCGUGGGGGAUGACGGCCUUCGGGUUGUAAACCUCUUUUAGUAGGGAAGAAGCGAGAGUGACGGUACCUGCAGAAAAAGCACCGGCUAACUACGUGCCAGCAGCCGCGGUAAUACGUAGGGUGCAAGCGUUGUCCGGAAUUAUUGGGCGUAAAGAGCUCGUAGGCGGUNUGUCGCGUCUGCUGUGAAAUCCUGAGGCUCAACCUUGGGCGUGCAGUGGGUACGGGCAGACUAGAGUGCGGUAGGGGUGAUUGGAAUUCCUGGUGUAGCGGUGGAAUGCGCAGAUAUCAGGAGGAACACCGAUGGCGAAGGCAGGUCACUGGGCCGUUACUGACGCUGAGGAGCGAAAGCAUGGGGAGCGAA
This 390-nucleotide ribosomal RNA is filed under the name uncultured bacterium. Its description in RNAcentral is "bacterial SSU rRNA". It matches the Rfam family "Bacterial small subunit ribosomal RNA", at positions 370 to 772 of the family's 1533-position model. The record is from RNAcentral.